RNAcentral lists this transfer RNA (65 nucleotides) under Scyllarides haanii. RNAcentral's name for it is "tRNA-Phe". Lineage: Eukaryota; Metazoa; Arthropoda; Malacostraca; Decapoda; Scyllaridae. The record is from RNAcentral.
GCUUAUAUAAUUUAAAUUCAGAAUUUUACAUUGAAGCUGUGAAUGUGGUUAAUAACCUGUAAGCA